GAAAUGUUAAUACAGUACAUAUAAUCAAUAUAACAUAAUACAUAUAGUAUUCAAUUUAGUAUUUGCGAAAAGCCAAUCAUAAAAUAUGCAUUUUUCACACUUGUGGAUAUAAAAUUUGCUUAAAGACUACUUGUGGGUGAUGACAUUUUCUUUUCCAGCUGGCACAGCUUGUGCCAGGAACUGAGACCAGGAACACCCAGGGGUGGUUCAAGGGCAGGCAGCUUCACCCUGUGCCACGCCAACCCCCAGCACUCCUUUCUCCUCGCCAGGAGGGCAGCAUGGCCACAACAGCUGCACAAAACCCUGGUGCCAACACUGGCCAGAUUUUCAUCUCUUGCUGCAGAAGAGACAAAAAACCCCUCAGGAGGUAAUGGGUGAGCCACCACAGGCUGUGGUCAUAAAGACUUUUGGAGGACUGGAUGAGACCUGUGAGGAGAUGCGUGAAGCCGAGCGGCGCCGCACUGAGGCUGAGUUUGAACGGCUGCGCCGGCUGCUGGCAGAGCCGGAGCGCACCGUGCUGGGCGGCUGGCUGAGCCGGACCGCAUCUUCCUAACUACCCACGCCGAAAAAUCAUUGUGGGUGGCCGAGGGGGUUGCACAACCUCACAGACUCAUCGGGUAGCUAGAGGCCAGGUGCUUGCCCCAGGUGAGUGCUGUUCUUACCGGAAAGCUGUCCCAAAGUGCUGCCUAUGGAUUCUUGAAUUCCCUUUUUUCUCCCUUUUUUCCUUUUAGGAUGUUGGGAGCAUCAUAAGCAGGUAUGUGGCAACUGGUUGCUUGAUGUCCCUAUCACUCCAGCUGCGGAGAGGUGCUUGGCUGCUACAUCCAUCACAGAAUCCCGUCCCUGUAAUUUCUUUUCCCAGUUUGAGUGAAAUGAGGCUCCACCUCCCCUCGGGGCUCCCCAAGGAGCUGGAGAAGAGCCUGAGCUCCUGCUGCCACCAAAGCGAUGCUCUGUGGGAGGCCCUGGAGAAGUUCAGAGGGAGAAGGGAGCAGGCGAGCGAAGGGCAUCGGGAUACACGGGUCCCGGGUCUCGGGUACGGAGUGGCGGAUCGGUCCCGCGGCCUAAACUUGAUUUGAGAACAGCACAUCUGGCUCUCCCCCGCCGCUGGAAGCGGCUGCCGCGGCUCUGGCUGCCGUCACUCGGCUGUCCCCACACGAUAAGCAGCGCGGUAAGCGGCGACUCCCCGCGGGACCGCGCCUGUUCCGUCCCGCGGCGCAGCUCUCAGUGGCCAUCCCCUGCUGCGGCUCUUUAAUUCUAUUUAUUUUAUUCUGCUCUAUACGUUCCAUUCACAUCUCGCCCCCCUGUCGGUGCAGCCCUUUUGGCG
Molecule: long non-coding RNA, 1321 nt
Filed under: Chloebia gouldiae (Gouldian finch)
Lineage: Eukaryota; Metazoa; Chordata; Aves; Passeriformes; Passeridae
Description: Erythrura gouldiae (Gouldian finch) lncRNA (ENSEGOG00005005677.1)
Source: RNAcentral